Molecule: ribosomal RNA, 1700 nt
Filed under: Lacticaseibacillus rhamnosus
Lineage: Bacteria; Bacillati; Bacillota; Bacilli; Lactobacillales; Lactobacillaceae
Description: bacterial LSU rRNA
Rfam family: Bacterial large subunit ribosomal RNA
Source: RNAcentral
UGGGUGCGCGGUAGGAGAGCGUUCUAAGGGCGUUGAAGGUCGAUCGUGAGGACGGCUGGAGCGCUUAGAAGUGAGAAUGCCGGCAUGAGUAGCGAAAGAUCAGUGAGAAUCUGAUCCACCGUAUGACUAAGGUUUCCUGGGGAAGGCUCGUCCUCCCAGGGUUAGUCGGGAUCUAAGGCGAGGCCGCAAGGCGUAGUCGAUGACAAGCAGGUUGAGAUUCCUGCACUAGUUUAUUUUGUUUAAGCGAUGGAGGGACGCAGGAGGCUAAGGAAAGCGCACGGCUGGAAAAGUGCGUCCAAGCAGUAAGUCCGGUGGCGAGUGAAAUGCUUGCCGCCUUAAGGACAAGCUGUGAUGGGGAGCGAAAUUAAAGUAGCGAAGUUCCUGAUGUCACACUGCCAAGAAAAGCUUCUAGUGAGAAAUAAACUACCCGUACCGCAAACCGACACAGGUAGUCGAGGAGAGUAUCCUCAGGUGAGCGAGCGAACUCUCGUUAAGGAACUCGGCAAAAUGACCCCGUAACUUCGGAAGAAGGGGUGCUGACCGCAAGGUCAGCCGCAGUGAAUAGGCCCAAACAACUGUUUAUCAAAAACACAGGUCUCUGCUAAAUCGUAAGAUGAUGUAUAGGGGCUGACGCCUGCCCGGUGCUGGAAGGUUAAGAGGAUGAGUUAGCGCAAGCGAAGCCCAGAAUUGAAGCCCCAGUAAACGGCGGCCGUAACUAUAACGGUCUAAGGUAGCGAAAUUCCUUGUCGGGUAAGUUCCGACCCGCACGAAAGGCGUAAUGAUUUGGGCACUGUCUCAACGAGAGACUCGGUGAAAUUAUAGUACCCGUGAAGAUGCGGGUUACCCGCGACAGGACGGAAAGACCCCAUGGAGCUUUACUUAGCUUGAUAUUGAGUGUUGGUACCGCUUGUACAGGAUAGGUAGGAGCCGUAGAGAUCGGAACGCUAGUUUCGAUGGAGGCAUUGGUGGGAUACUACCCUAGCUGUAUGAACACUCUAACCCGCGCCACUAAUCGUGGCGGGAGACAGUGUCAGGUAGGCAGUUUGACUGGGGCGGUCGCCUCCUAAAAUGUAACGGAGGCGCCCAAAGGUUCCCUCAGAAUGGUUGGAAAUCAUUCGCAGGGUGUAAAGGUAGAAGGGGGCUCGACUGCGAGACUGACAAGUCGAGCAGGGACGAAAGUCGGGCUUAGUGAUCCGGUGGUUCCGUAUGGAAGGGCCAUCGCUCAACGGAUAAAAGCUACCCUGGGGAUAACAGGCUUAUCUCCCCCAAGAGUCCACAUCGACGGGGAGGUUUGGCACCUCGAUGUCGGCUCAUCGCAUCCUGGGGCUGUAGUCGGUCCCAAGGGUUGGGCUGUUCGCCCAUUAAAGCGGUACGCGAGCUGGGUUCAGAACGUCGUGAGACAGUUCGGUCCCUAUCCGUCGCGGGCGCAGGAAAUUUGAGAGGAGCUGUCCUUAGUACGAGAGGACCGGGAUGGACGUUCCGCUGGUGUACCAGUUGUGCCGCCAGGCGCAUCGCUGGGUAGCUAUGAACGGAAGGGAUAAACGCUGAAAGCAUCUAAGUGUGAAGCCCCCCUCGAGAUGAGAUUUCCCAUUCCUAUAUGGAAGUAAGACCCCUGAAAGAUGAUCAGGUAGAUAGGCUGGAAGUGGAAGUGCAGCGAUGCAUGGAGCGGACCAGUACUAAUCGGUCGAGGACUUAACCAA